This 253-nucleotide ribosomal RNA is filed under the name uncultured bacterium. Its description in RNAcentral is "partial 16S ribosomal RNA". It matches the Rfam family "Bacterial small subunit ribosomal RNA", at positions 524 to 776 of the family's 1533-position model. The record is from RNAcentral.
GACGUAGGGCGCAAGCGUUGUCCGGAUUUAUUGGGCGUAAAGGGCUCGUAGGCGGCCUGUCACGUCGAUCGUGAAAACCAGGGGCUCAACCCUUGGCUUGCGGUCGAUACGGGCAGGCUUGAGGUAGGUAGGGGAGAACGGAAUUCCACGUGUAGCGGUGAAAUGCGCAGAUAUGUGGAGGAACACCGGUGGCGAAGGCGGUUCUCUGGGCCUAUCCUGACGCUGAUGAGCGAAAGCGUGGGGAGCGAACAGG